UUAAAGGAAUUGACGGAAGGGCACCACCAGGAGUGGAGCCUGCGGCUUAAUUUGACUCAACACGGGGAACCUCACCAGGUCCGGACAUGAUUGCGAUGGACAGAUCGAUAGCUCUUUCUAGAUCUCAUGGAUGGUGGUGCAUGGCCGUUCUUAGUUCGUGGAGCGAUUUGUCUGGUUAAUUCCGAUAACGAGCGAGACUCUACCUUACUAACUAAGACGUACGAUAUACACGAGGUCUGUUGCCGUACCGUAUGUUGCCCACAUUUCGGUGUGUGGUAUACUGCGUUACGGCACGGGCCAUACUAUCGGCGCAAAUGUUUUCUUCUUAGAAGAACAAGCUAUAUAUAGUAGCACGAGAGAGAGCAAUAACAGGUCAGUGAUGCCCUUAGAUGUCCUGGGCCGCACGCGUGCGACAAUGAAAGAGUCAAUAGGUGUCCUAGGCCGAAAUGUCUGGGUAAUCCUAGCAAUCUCUUUCGUGUUGGGGAUUGGGGCUUGAAAGUGCUUCCCAUGAACGAGGAAUUCCCAGUAAGCGUAGUUGAUCAAUCUACGCUGAUUGAGUCCCUGCCCUUUGUACACACCGCCCGUCGCUACUACCGAUGAGCGGGCUAGCGAGAUCUUCGGACCGGCGCCUCGAAAGAGGUCGUGUUACCGGAAAGUCGAUCAAACUUGCCCGUUUAGAGGAAGUAAAA
Molecule: ribosomal RNA, 689 nt
Filed under: Fustiger fuchsii
Lineage: Eukaryota; Metazoa; Arthropoda; Insecta; Coleoptera; Staphylinidae
Description: bacterial SSU rRNA
Rfam family: Eukaryotic small subunit ribosomal RNA
Source: RNAcentral